Molecule: ribosomal RNA, 514 nt
Filed under: uncultured bacterium
Lineage: Bacteria
Description: partial 16S ribosomal RNA
Rfam family: Bacterial small subunit ribosomal RNA
Source: RNAcentral
GACGAACGCUGGCGGCGUGCCUAACACAUGCAAGUCGAACGGAGAAUCAGCAAUGAUUCUUAGUGGCGAACGGGUGAGUAACGCGUAGACAACCUGCCUUCUAGAUGGGGACAACACUGCGAAAGUGGUGCUAAUACCGAAUGUUGUAUUAAGCCUGCAUGGGCUUGAUACUAAAGUUGGCCUCUAUUUAUAAGCUACCACUAGAAGAUGGGUCUGCGUCUGAUUAGCUAGUUGGUGAGGUAAUAGCUCACCAGGGCGAUGAUCAGUAGCCGGUCUGAGAGGAUGAACGGCCACACUGGGACUGAGACACGGCCCAGACUCCUACGGGAGGCAGCAGUGGGGAAUCUUCCGCAAUGGACGAAAGUCUGACGGAGCAACGCCGCGUGAGUGAAGAAGGUUUUCGGAUCGUAAAGCUCUGUCUUUGAGGACGAAUGUGUCUAAUGUAAAUAAUGUUAGAUAAUGACGGUACUCGAGGAGGAAGCCACGGCUAACUACGUGCCAGCCGCCGCAGUAA